RNAcentral lists this ribosomal RNA (404 nucleotides) under Lactiplantibacillus plantarum. RNAcentral's name for it is "bacterial SSU rRNA". It matches the Rfam family "Bacterial small subunit ribosomal RNA", at positions 95 to 485 of the family's 1533-position model. Lineage: Bacteria; Bacillati; Bacillota; Bacilli; Lactobacillales; Lactobacillaceae. The record is from RNAcentral.
GUGGCGAACUGGUGAGUAACACGUGGGAAACCUGCCCAGAAGCGGGGGAUAACACCUGGAAACAGAUGCUAAUACCGCAUAACAACUUGGACCGCAUGGUCCGAGCUUGAAAGAUGGCUUCGGCUAUCACUUUUGGAUGGUCCCGCGGCGUAUUAGCUAGAUGGUGGGGUAACGGCUCACCAUGGCAAUGAUACGUAGCCGACCUGAGAGGGUAAUCGGCCACAUUGGGACUGAGACACGGCCCAAACUCCUACGGGAGGCAGCAGUAGGGAAUCUUCCACAAUGGACGAAAGUCUGAUGGAGCAACGCCGCGUGAGUGAAGAAGGGUUUCGGCUCGUAAAACUCUGUUGUUAAAGAAGAACAUAUCUGAGAGUAACUGUUCAGGUAUUGACGGUAUUUAACCA